Molecule: ribosomal RNA, 503 nt
Filed under: uncultured bacterium
Lineage: Bacteria
Description: bacterial SSU rRNA
Rfam family: Bacterial small subunit ribosomal RNA
Source: RNAcentral
GGUUCAGGAUGAACGCUAGCGGCAGGCUUAACACAUGCAAGUCGAGGGGCAUCGGGAGUAGCAAUACUGCCGGCGACCGGCGCAAGGGUGCGUAACGCGUGAGCAACAUGCCCGUAUCAGGGGGAUAAUCCAUGGAAACGUGGUCUAAUACCCCAUAGUAAUUAUGUAAGGCAUCUUAUAUAAUUUAAAGCUUUGGUGGAUACGGAUUGGCUCGCGUGACAUUAGCUAGAUGGUAAGGUAACGGCUUACCAUGGCUACGAUGUCUAGGGGUUCUGAGAGGAAGGCCCCCCACACUGGAACUGAGACACGGUCCAGACUCCUACGGGAGGCAGCAGUGAGGAAUAUUGGACAAUGGAUGGAAAUCUGAUCCAGCCAUGCCGCGUGCAGGAAGAACCGGCCCUAUGGGUUGUAAACUGCUUUUGUAUGGGAGCAAUAAGGGCUACGCGUAGUCCGAUGAGAGUACCAUACGAAUAAGCACCGGCUAACUCCGUGCCAGCAGCUGC